Molecule: non-coding RNA, 1470 nt
Organism: Lolium perenne
Lineage: Eukaryota; Viridiplantae; Streptophyta; Magnoliopsida; Poales; Poaceae
Source: RefSeq, a predicted model, not a curated record
UCUGAAAUAAAAUUCAAAGGUUUGUGUUUUUGUUUUUGAGGUAUUUUGUACCUUUUGGUUGCAUCAUUUGUUUAUUGCUUAAUUAUAUUGGUACAACAAAGGCCAGGAACAAAUUAAAGGGAUUUAGAUAAAUGGGUUGUUCUCCUUGAAGCCCAAAUUCCAUGGUGGAUUUUACGUAUAAUUUAACAUAAUAGUUCUUAUUAAAUUAAAUGGUAGAAUUGUAGAUUUCUCCCUUACCACAUCAGCUAGAUAUAGGAUGCCAAUGCUCGGCCCCUCUUAAAUUAUUUUAUGUACAAGAUGAUAGAUGGGCAAUGGCUUACUGUGAUGAUAUCUGUUUUCAGUUAACCCAUCAUAUAUUCCUUGGUUAAUCUCAGUGCUUCGAACUCCAACUGAAUGGAAACACCACUGCGCCCCAUAUGUUCUCCGCCGUCUCCAUCUUCUCAACACCUGCUCUCUCUGCAGAAGAAAAGCCUCGGCGCAGUAGCCCACGUCAUACUCCUUUGACGACAGAGAUGCUCGAGCGUUGGACUGAGAGGGGGGCCAGUGGGUGUCGCCGCAGGCCCAGUCGCGUCCCCGCUGCUCCUAGCCAUUCACCUACAGCGCGAGUUUGUGGGAGCAUGCUGUCGCAAAAAGCGGUUCAUUGCGCUGUUCAAGCUAUGGUCGUUGAUUUUCCUGCUGCUGAAAUCAAAGUAUUUCCCUGGCAAAUGCCGUCCAUUCCAUGGCAAUUGCCUAAAGAAAAGUGAAUCUCGCCAUGGUGGUGACCUGCUUGAUUAGUACAAAAAGAUUUUGUAUCGGACAUGGAGGAGCAGCAUGGCCUCAAGUGAGCAACCAGUUUGCAAGAAGGACAUUAGUUUUUUAAACAGGGGUCAAGUAGAUUGGAAGACUUCAUUGUGGUUGCGAUGAUGAUGGAUGAGUUACUGGUGAAGGAGUGUAAAUAAAUAAAUCUCAGGCUGCGAAGGUGAUGGAUGAGUUACUUGUAAAGCAGCAUAAACAAUUCAUCCCUCUUUAUUUUUUCUUCAUCGCGUGAUUCCUUGUUAAUUAUUUACCUGAAACUUUCUGUGCCCAUGGUUGUAUGCAAUAGUUUUUGCUGGUAAACGUAUAUUUAAGAACCAUGAAGUUUGUCCAAACUCUCUUAUUGUGAAAAUAGAUAAUUUUCUUUGCUCCAUUCCUCACUGCUAGAUUUAGAUUCCAUAACUAGAGACAUGGAAUGCUGACUAAACUUUGAAUUAUGCUGCACUAAGAAUCGAAAAACAGUCAAAUAUAGCUUUUUAUGUAUUUUUUUUACCAUCGACAGUACAUUCUAAAUGGUGACAUUUCUUAAGCACUAAGGGCAUUUUCUGUGCUGAUGGAAGAGUUGCAUCCUUAGCAGAUGAAAACGUGUGAUGUUUCAAAUUUAUAAGGUACUUACCUUUUUCCAAUUUAAUGAAGUGACAGCACAAUAAUGGGGCGGCGGACCAAAAGGCACGUAAG